RNAcentral lists this ribosomal RNA (573 nucleotides) under Rhizonema sp. 'cyanobiont of Moelleropsis nebulosa subsp. frullaniae'. RNAcentral's name for it is "SSU rRNA". It matches the Rfam family "Bacterial small subunit ribosomal RNA", at positions 153 to 760 of the family's 1533-position model. Lineage: Bacteria; Bacillati; Cyanobacteriota; Cyanophyceae; Nostocales; Rhizonemataceae. The record is from RNAcentral.
GAAACGGUGGCUAAUACCGGAUAUGCCGAAAGGUGAAAGGUUAACUGCCUGGAGAUGAGCUCGCGUCUGAUUAGCUAGUUGGUAGGGUAAAAGCUUACCAAGGCGACGAUCAGUAGCUGGUCUGAGAGGACGAUCAGCCACACUGGGACUGAGACACGGCCCAGACUCCUACGGGAGGCAGCAGUGGGGAAUUUUCCGCAAUGGGCGAAAGCCUGACGGAGCAAUACCGCGUGAGGGAGGAAGGCUCUUGGGUUGUAAACCUCUUUUCUCAGGGAAGAAAAAUGACGGUACUUGAGGAAUAAGCAUCGGCUAACUCCGUGCCAGCAGCCGCGGUAAUACGGAGGAUGCAAGCGUUAUCCGGAAUGAUUGGGCGUAAAGCGUUCGCAGGUGGCAUUGAAAGUCUGCUGUCAAAGAGUCUGGCUCAACCAGAUACAGGCAGUGGAAACUUCAAAGCUAGAGUGCGGUAGGGGCAGAGGGAAUUCCUGGUGUAGCGGUGAAAUGCGUAGAGUUCAGGAAGAACACCGGUGGCGAAAGCGCUCUGCUAGGCCGCAACUGACACUGAGGGACGAAAGC